CUGGCGGCGUGCCUAAUACAUGCAAGUCGAACGGUCUUUCUGUGGAAGCUUGCUUCCACUGAGAAGAUAGUGGCGAACGGGUGAGUAACACGUGGGUAACCUGCCCAUAAGAGGGGGAUAACAUCCGGAAACGGGUGCUAAUACCGCAUAGUUUUCUUGAUCGCAUGAUCGGGAAAGGAAAGACGGCCUUUGUGCUGUCGCUUAUGGAUGGACCCGCGGCGUAUUAGUUAGUUGGUGAGGUAACGGCUCACCAAGACGAUGAUACGUAGCCGACCUGAGAGGGUGAUCGGCCACAUUGGGACUGAGACACGGCCCAAACUCCUACGGGAGGCAGCAGUAGGGAAUCUUCCGCAAUGGACGAAAGUCUGACGGAGCAACGCCGCGUGAGUGAAAGAAGGUUUUCGGAUCGUAAAACUCUGUUGUCAGAGAAGAACAAGUUGGAGAGUAACUGCUCCAGCCUUGACGGUAUCUGACCAGAAAGCCACGGCUAACUACGUGCCAGCCGCCGC
This 509-nucleotide ribosomal RNA is filed under the name uncultured bacterium. RNAcentral describes it as "bacterial SSU rRNA". It matches the Rfam family "Bacterial small subunit ribosomal RNA", at positions 36 to 518 of the family's 1533-position model. The record is from RNAcentral.